CCUUGGUCAUGUGAGUCUGUAACUGGGCUGUGAACCAUCAGACCUGGGCUCAGCAUCAGAACCAUCAUUUGAAGAAGAUCUGCAUCAGAACUGAACUCAGCCGUGAGGAAGAGUAAUCACCUACACACAGUACACGCUGCAGGCUCAAAGCCUGCCACGCAGGGGGAUAGCGAGACGGUCAGUGCAACCAGCCCAGGGGACUGAGCCUGGUGCCCAGAACCCAC
RNAcentral lists this long non-coding RNA (224 nucleotides) under Rattus norvegicus (Norway rat). RNAcentral's name for it is "long non-coding RNA NONRATT032544". Lineage: Eukaryota; Metazoa; Chordata; Mammalia; Rodentia; Muridae. The record is from RNAcentral.